This 1454-nucleotide ribosomal RNA is filed under the name Clostridium botulinum. RNAcentral describes it as "bacterial SSU rRNA". It matches the Rfam family "Bacterial small subunit ribosomal RNA". Lineage: Bacteria; Bacillati; Bacillota; Clostridia; Eubacteriales; Clostridiaceae. The record is from RNAcentral.
UUUUAAAUUUAGAGUUUGAUCCUGGCUCAGGACGAACGCUGGCGGCGUGCUUAACACAUGCAAGUCGAGCGAUGAAGCUUCCUUCGGGAAGUGGAUUAGCGGCGGACGGGUGAGUAACACGUGGGUAACCUGCCUCAAAGUGGGGGAUAGCCUUCCGAAAGGAAGAUUAAUACCGCAUAAUAUAAGAGAAUCGCAUGAUUUUCUUAUCAAAGAUUUAUUGCUUUGAGAUGGACCCGCGGCGCAUUAGCUAGUUGGUAAGGUAACGGCUUACCAAGGCAACGAUGCGUAGCCGACCUGAGAGGGUGAUCGGCCACAUUGGAACUGAGACACGGUCCAGACUCCUACGGGAGGCAGCAGUGGGGAAUAUUGCGCAAUGGGGGAAACCCUGACGCAGCAACGCCGCGUGGGUGAUGAAGGUCUUCGGAUUGUAAAGCCCUGUUUUCUAGGACGAUAAUGACGGUACUAGAGGAGGAAGCCACGGCUAACUACGUGCCAGCAGCCGCGGUAAUACGUAGGUGGCGAGCGUUGUCCGGAUUUACUGGGCGUAAAGGGUGCGUAGGCGGAUGUUUAAGUGGGAUGUGAAAUCCCCGGGCUUAACCUGGGGGCUGCAUUCCAAACUGGAUAUCUAGAGUGCAGGAGAGGAAAGCGGAAUUCCUAGUGUAGCGGUGAAAUGCGUAGAGAUUAGGAAGAACACCAGUGGCGAAGGCGGCUUUCUGGACUGUAACUGACGCUGAGGCACGAAAGCGUGGGUAGCAAACAGGAUUAGAUACCCUGGUAGUCCACGCCGUAAACGAUGGAUACUAGGUGUAGGGGGUAUCAACUCCCCCUGUGCCGCAGUUAACACAAUAAGUAUCCCGCCUGGGGAGUACGGUCGCAAGAUUAAAACUCAAAGGAAUUGACGGGGGCCCGCACAAGCAGCGGAGCAUGUGGUUUAAUUCGAAGCAACGCGAAGAACCUUACCUGGACUUGACAUCCCUUGCAUAGCCUAGAGAUAGGUGAAGCCCUUCGGGGCAAGGAGACAGGUGGUGCAUGGUUGUCGUCAGCUCGUGUCGUGAGAUGUUAGGUUAAGUCCUGCAACGAGCGCAACCCUUGUUAUUAGUUGCUACCAUUAAGUUGAGCACUCUAAUGAGACUGCCUGGGUAACCAGGAGGAAGGUGGGGAUGACGUCAAAUCAUCAUGCCCCUUAUGUCCAGGGCUACACACGUGCUACAAUGGUAGGUACAAUAAGACGCAAGACCGUGAGGUGGAGCAAAACUUAUAAAACCUAUCUCAGUUCGGAUUGUAGGCUGCAACUCGCCUACAUGAAGCUGGAGUUGCUAGUAAUCGCGAAUCAGAAUGUCGCGGUGAAUACGUUCCCGGGCCUUGUACACACCGCCCGUCACACCAUGAGAGCUGGUAACACCCGAAGUCCGUGAGGUAACCGUAAGGAACCAGCGGCCGAAGGUGGGAUUAGU